AGCAUGUUCUAGAGCAUGAGAACAAAGAGAUGACUGAAAACAGUGUUUGUCCUCAUAAAGUCCCUAGUCCAGCAACAGAACUCAGUACCAGGUGGCCCGUGGCUGUCCGUCCCUCUCAGCCCAUUUGGAGGUGACUCUUGCUUCUCUCUUGAUGGAUCAGCUUUCACUGCCCACCCCCAGGGACAUGACCAAAGAGGUUCCUCCUCUCUACCCCUAAGCGGUGAGUCCAUAGGCUCCCUGGAGAGUUCAGUCAUCUCUUCUGGAGCAAGUCACCUAGCAGCAGUGAACCUCCAUUUCUUUAUCUCAAAAAUGGGAGUCAAUAAUCCCUGCCUUAUUGAUGUCACUGGAUUGUCAUAAAAAUGACAUCAUUAUGUAAAGGUCUUUGUAACCUGCCACGUACUCUAUAAUGAUGAGAUACUCCUUAUAUUAAACCAAAGAAAGAAAUGACUCUGCUAAAGAUGGAAUUUUAGACAUCAACAUGAAAAAACAAGAAAGACAGUUUGCAGAGAGGAGAGAAUGAAACAGGACUGUAGAGAGAAGCAGAGACAAGAAAUGGAUCUUCCCAUCUCGUCAUGAGCUUCCACUUCCAGACCCUGUACUCAGUGGAUCAGCUGGCACCACGCAGAU
Molecule: long non-coding RNA, 627 nt
Filed under: Homo sapiens (human)
Lineage: Eukaryota; Metazoa; Chordata; Mammalia; Primates; Hominidae
Description: HSALNT0342720
Source: RNAcentral